AUGACAAACGGAACAAGUGGUGGAGUGGUAAGUAUGCGCGUCUGUAAGGGUAGGAACGCCACCGGAGAAAUCUAAUCACCGUUGGAGUCCGAAGACGCCACCGGAGUCACGCCGGAGUCUUACGACGGAACUUAACUCGAACCGUUUUCGCUUUAAAUCGGAGAAGAUGAUACGAACACGUCUCGGGAUUCACUCCGUUUCAAUUCGGAUAAUCAUUUCGUUCUCCUGGAAUUAUCAAUCCUACUCGUGCGUUACUUACAAGAAAUCGCAACGCAAUCAAUGUUGAAAGUACAAGAUUCAAGAAUCAAGCUAGGAUGAACCCUAGAAACCCACAUAACAUUUGAAUUAUUGUUGAACAAGAUGUUGUAUUGUUUGGAACUAUGUAUUUCACUUUAGAGUUUAUGAAAUGAAUAAAAUAAAUUAUUGUCACAUUUAGUGUUAUGUUGUUUUGAGCAAUUUGUACGUCUC
This 468-nucleotide long non-coding RNA is filed under the name Helianthus annuus (common sunflower). Lineage: Eukaryota; Viridiplantae; Streptophyta; Magnoliopsida; Asterales; Asteraceae. The record is from RNAcentral.